GAUGAACGCUGGCGGCGUGCUUAACACAUGCAAGUCGAACGGUGAAGCGCCUUCCUUUUUGGUGGGUGUGGAUGAGUGGCGAACGGGUGAGUAACACGUGAGUAACCUGCUCCCUCUUUCUGGAUAACCGCAUGAAAGUGUGACUAAUACGGGAUAUUUUGGGUCUGUUGGAUGAUGGGUCUGGGAAAGAUUUUGUUUCGGUGGUGGAUGGGCUCGCGGCGGAUUAGCUUGUUGGUGGGGUGAUGGCUUACCAAGGCGGCGAUGCGUAGCCGCCCUGAGAGGGUGGUCGGCCGUCACACAGCUGAGGCGAGACCGAGCAGACUACGGGAGGAGGCAGUAGGGAGUAUUAUUGCACGGUCGGAGGAAGGCUGGUGCAGCGACGCGGCGGGGAUGAUGGAGGCCGUCGGGUAGUAAUCUGCUUUCGGGAGAGAAGAAGGGCGGAAUCGUUUAUGCAUGUGUUGACGGUAGCUAGAUAAGAAGCGCCGGCUAACUACGUG
RNAcentral lists this ribosomal RNA (497 nucleotides) under uncultured bacterium. Its description in RNAcentral is "partial 16S ribosomal RNA". It matches the Rfam family "Bacterial small subunit ribosomal RNA", at positions 28 to 507 of the family's 1533-position model. The record is from RNAcentral.